This 500-nucleotide ribosomal RNA is filed under the name uncultured Glomeromycotina. Its description in RNAcentral is "partial small subunit ribosomal RNA". It matches the Rfam family "Eukaryotic small subunit ribosomal RNA", at positions 591 to 1092 of the family's 1831-position model. Lineage: Eukaryota; Fungi; Glomeromycota. The record is from RNAcentral.
CCAAUAGCGUAUAUUAAAGUUGUUGCAGUUAAAAAGCUCGUAGUUGAAUUUCGGGGUCAGUAGGUUGGUCAUGCCACUGGUAUGUACUGGCCUCACUGAUUCCUCCUUCCUGAUGAGCCGUAAUGCCAUUAAUUUGGUGUUGCGAGGAAUCUGGACUGUUACUUUGAAAAAAUUAGAGUGUUUAAAGCAGGCUAACGCUUGAAUACAUUAGCAUGGAAUAAUGAAAUAGGACGUUCGAUCUUAUUUUGUUGGUUUCUAAGAUUGACGUAAUGAUUAAUAGGGAUAGUUGGGGGCAUUAGUAUUCAAUUGUCAGAGGUGAAAUUCUUGGAUUUAUUGAAGACUAACUACUGCGAAAGCAUUUGCCAAGGAUGUUUUCAUUAAUCAAGAACGAAAGUUAGGGGAUCGAAGACGAUCAGAUACCGUCGUAGUCUUAACCAUAAACUAUGCCGACUAGGGAUCGGAUGAUGUUAAUUUUUUAAUGACUCAUUCGGCGCCUUACG